This 382-nucleotide unclassified non-coding RNA is filed under the name uncultured fungus. RNAcentral describes it as "partial contains small subunit ribosomal RNA, internal transcribed spacer 1, and 5.8S ribosomal RNA". The stretch from base 1 to 73 matches the Rfam family "Eukaryotic small subunit ribosomal RNA", at positions 1759 to 1831 of the family's 1831-position model. The record is from RNAcentral. Lineage: Eukaryota; Fungi.
CCAAACUUGGUCAUUUAGAGGAAGUAAAAGUCGUAACAAGGUUUCCGUAGGUGAACCUGCGGAAGGAUCAUUACAAGUUCCGGCCGAAACCCAUUAGGCCUCCGAACGUACACCUCUGACCCGCCCGUGCCUUCCCAGAAGGGGAGGUACGUGUUGAAGUCAAGGUUUAACCUGUUCACUUUUCACCCUUUGUGAAACUUCCACCUUUGCUUCGGCAGCACCGGACGGGCAACCGUAAGGGUAAGGCUGUCGGAAGCUUAACAUAAAACCAGUUGAUGAAAUAUCAUGCCGUCUGAUGUACUCUUUAUUUGAGAAAUCAAGUAAUCUUAUUAAAACUUUCAGCAACGGAUCUCUUGGUUCCCGCAUCGAUGAAGAACGCAGC